Molecule: ribosomal RNA, 468 nt
Filed under: uncultured bacterium
Lineage: Bacteria
Description: partial 16S ribosomal RNA
Rfam family: Bacterial small subunit ribosomal RNA
Source: RNAcentral
GACGAACGCUGGCGGCGUGCUUAACACAUGCAAGUCGAACGGAAAGGCCCUGCUUUUGUGGGGUGCUCGAGUGGCGAACGGGUGAGUAACACGUGAGUAACCUGCCCUUGACUUUGGGAUAACUUCAGGAAACUGGGGCUAAUACCGGAUAGGAGCUCCUGCUGCAUGGUGGGGGUUGGAAAGUUUCGGCGGUUGGGGCUGGACUCGCGGGUUAUCAGCUUGUUGGUGGGGUAGUGGCUUACCAAGGCUUUGACGGGUAGCCGGCAUGAAAGGGUGACCGGCCACAUUGGGACUGAGCUACGGCCCAGACUCCUACGGGAGGCAGCAGUGGGGAAUAUUGCACAAUGGGAUGAAGCCUGAUGCAGCAACGCCGCGUGCGGGAUGACGGCCUUCGGGUUGUAAACCGCUUUCGCCUGUGACGAAGCGUGAGUGACGGUAAUGGGUAAAGAAGCACCGGCUAACUACGUG